GACACGCGCUUCGCGGAAGCUCCUCCUCCACUACUCCUCACGCGCCUCGAAGCCUCGAAACAGAACGUCACAUCACUAUUUACAACCACAAAAUGCGGAAAAAAUUCUGGAGGCGCCACUGGAGGGAUGAUGGACUACAAUAGAUUCAUGAAGAAAGUUUUGAUGAUGCGGAUUAGAUAUGGGUCUCAGACGUGUGUAUCAAAUAUGAAACCUGUAGUUAUAUAGGGUUAAUUCAUUAGAAUGUUAUACAUUGAUCAACAUUUUCAGACCAGAUUUGGCCCAGCCAGGUCAGUUUUAAUGCUGCCAUUGAGUUUUCUCACCUUCCUCUUUAAUUGGAUGACACAGACUAUCCUCUUACAAAAUCACUAGUCCUUAAUUGAAUCCUUUUCUCUCUCCACCCCCUCCAGCUCAUUCUUGCCCCUAGACUCCAGCAUUCCUCCCUGCAGUUUAUUCUGCCUCCUCGUGGCUCUCAGAAGCAGCAUCAGUCUUGUUCCAAAAGGCAGCCUUAGUUCAUGCUUAAGCUUCUCCAGAGCUGGAGGUCAGAGGUGUUAUGAGGACACAUGGUCUAACAUGGACACUAGAGUUGUGUGUCACUAACACAUUACUCAUCAGAGGGUCGGACGGGUUAGCCUGCAACACUGCUG
This is a long non-coding RNA of Oryzias melastigma (Indian medaka), 644 nucleotides long. RefSeq lists it as uncharacterized. The record is from RefSeq and is a predicted model, not a curated record. Lineage: Eukaryota; Metazoa; Chordata; Actinopteri; Beloniformes; Adrianichthyidae. The transcript is spliced from 3 exons.